CCAGACUCCUACGGGAGGCAGCAGUGGGGAAUAUUGCACAAUGGGGGAAACCCUGAUGCAGCGACGCCGCGUGAGCGAAGAAGUAUUUCGGUAUGUAAAGCUCUAUCAGCAGGGAAGAAAAUGACGGUACCUGACUAAGAAGCUCCGGCUAAAUACGUGCCAGCAGCCGCGGUAAUACGUAUGGAGCAAGCGUUAUCCGGAUUUACUGGGUGUAAAGGGAGCGUAGGCGGUAAGGCAAGUCUGAUGUGAAAGGCCAGGGCUCAACCCUGGGACUGCAUUGGAAACUGCCCGGCUAGAGUGCUGGAGAGGUAAGCGGAAUUCCUAGUGUAGCGGUGAAAUGCGUAGAUAUUAGGAGGAACACCAGUGGCGAAGGCGGCUUACUGGACAGUAACUGACGUUGAGGCUCGAAAGCGUGGGGAGCAAACAGGAUUAGAUACCCGAGUA
RNAcentral lists this ribosomal RNA (444 nucleotides) under uncultured bacterium. Its description in RNAcentral is "bacterial SSU rRNA". It matches the Rfam family "Bacterial small subunit ribosomal RNA", at positions 331 to 792 of the family's 1533-position model. The record is from RNAcentral.